GAUUCCUUCGGGAUGACGGUAUAGUGACUGAGUGGCGGACGGGUGAGUAACGCGUGGGGAACCUGCCCCAUACCGGGGGAUAACAGCCGGAAACGGCUGCUAAUACCGCAUAAGCGCACAGUACCGCAUGGUACGGUGUGAAAAACUCCGGUGGUAUGGGAUGGACCCGCGUCUGAUUAGCCAGUUGGCGGAGUAACGGCCCACCAAAGCGACGAUCAGUAGCCGGCCUGAGAGGGCGACCGGCCACAUUGGGACUGAGACACGGCCCAGACUCCUACGGGAGGCAGCAGUGGGGAAUAUUGCACAAUGGGGGAAACCCUGAUGCAGCGACGCCGCGUGAGUGAGGAAGUAUUUCGGUAUGUAAAGCUCUAUCAGCAGGGAAGAAGAAAUGACGGUACCUGACUAAGAAGCCCCGGCUAACUACGUGCCAGCAGCCGCGGUAAUACGUAGGGGGCAAGCGUUAUCCGGAUUUACUGGGUGUAAAGGGAGCGCAGGCGGCAUGAUAAGUCUGAUGUGAAAACCCAAGGCUCAACCAUGGGACUGCAUUGGAAACUGUCGUGCUGGAGUGUCGGAGAGGUAAGCGGAAUUCCUAGUGUAGCGGUGAAAUGCGUAGAUAUUAGGAGGAACACCAGUGGCGAAGGCGGCUUACUGGACGAUGACUGACGCUGAGGCUCGAAAGCGUGGGGAGCAAACAGG
This 696-nucleotide ribosomal RNA is filed under the name uncultured Lachnospiraceae bacterium. RNAcentral describes it as "bacterial SSU rRNA". It matches the Rfam family "Bacterial small subunit ribosomal RNA", at positions 70 to 776 of the family's 1533-position model. The record is from RNAcentral. Lineage: Bacteria; Bacillati; Bacillota; Clostridia; Lachnospirales; Lachnospiraceae.